This is a ribosomal RNA of 1632 nucleotides. It matches the Rfam family "Eukaryotic small subunit ribosomal RNA".
UCAAAAUUUUUUGAGUUUAGUUUCAUAAAGGAUACCUCAGGUAACCCUUGAGCUAAUACUUGACUCGCCCUCCGGGGCAUGCCUCUUGUAUUCUAGACCUAAGAGUUCCGGAGGAACUAUUCGGGGGAGAUCUGACGAGAGUGCUAACUCCGAUGGCUAAUGCACGGAGUGAUAUCUUGAAGUGUCUGACCUAUCAAUUGGGGACGGUAGUGUAUGGGACUACCAUGGUCCUGACGGGUGACGGGGAAUCAGGGUUUUAUUCCGGAGAGGCAGCCUUAAAAACGGCUACUACACCCAAGGGAGGCAGCAGGCGCGCAAAUUACCCAAUACUAGUUCUGUGAGGUAGUGACGAGAAAUAACAAUACAUCGCUUUUGCGUUGUAAUUGGAAUGACAGUGAAGUAAAUUUUCUGCGGAGGAACAAGUGGAGGGCAAGUCUGGUGCCAGCAGCCGCGGUAAUACCAGCCUCCACAAGCAUAUGCAAAAGUUGCUGCGUUUAGAAAGCUCGUAGUUGGUGCUGUCACGGUGUAUCCGAAAUCUGCUCAGUUGUAGCGGUGGAACACUGUUUCUGCGGUGCUUUAAAGUUUUGCACUUAAUUGUGUGAGAGUUUGAAGCCGGUUUUACCUAGAAUAAAACAGCGUGUUCAAAGCAGCCUUUGGGUAUGAAUAACGGAGCAUGGAAUAAAAGAGGAGGAUCGUUCGUCUUCUUUGGUUAUGAUUAACGAUAAUGGUCUACAAGAUUGAAUGGGGGUAUCCGUAUUGUUGCGUCAGAGGUGAAAUUCUUGGAUCGCAGCAAGACGUCCUACUGCGAAAGCAUUUACCAAAAGUGUUUUUACUUAUCAAGAACGAAAGUUGGAGUAUUGAAGAGGAUUAGAUACCCUCGUAAUUCUAACCAUAAACUAUUCAAACUCGGUUUGUGCAUGAUCAAAAGUGUUCUAGCAUGAAUCAUGAAGGAAACUAAAGUUUUUCUGUUACGGGGGUAGUAUGGUUGCAAAAUCGAAACUUAAAGGAAUUGACGGAAGGGCACCACCAGGAGUGGAGCCUGCGGCUUAAUUCGACUCAACACGGGGAAACUCACUAGGUCCAGACAUGGUAAUGAUUGACAGACUAGAUAUUCAUCAUGAUACCUUGGGUGGUGGUGCAUGGCCGUUCUUAGUUAGUGGAGUGCUCUGUCUGGUUGAUUCCGAUAACGAACGAGACCUUUUUCAAUUGAGUAACGUCGAUGCGGGCUGCGUCUGAUGUUUCUAAGAGAGACCAUGUGGAUAAAGUACCGCUUGGAAGUUGGGCUAUAACAGGUCUGUGAUGCCCUUAGAUGUCCUGGGCUGCACGCGCGCUACACUGAGUGUUACAACGUGAAUGUUUUGUCCGACAGGGUCUGGGAAAUCAUUGAAUUAUUUCACGUGCUGGGAAUCGAUUUCUGGAAUUUCGAAUCGUGAACGAGGAAUUCCUAGUAAGUAUCGGUAAGUAUCCGGUGCUGAUUACGUCCCUGCCCUUUGUACACACCGCCCGUCGCUACUACUGAUUGGGUGUAUGAGCGAGGUUUGCGGACGCAUAGGAUGGUUUAUUCUGUCUAGCGGUGAAAGCAAAUCAAGUUCAUGCGUUUAGAGGAAGUAAAAGUCGUAACAAGGUUUCCGU